GGGGCGUGGGCUGCGCCCCUCGAGGUCUGCAGAAGACUUAACUAAAGCUUCCUACAAUGAUGUCCUAAGUGCUGAGCGAAUUAAAAAACUCCUUUACCUGCUUAAGUCAACUGAGGAUCCUGUACUCAUUGAAAGAGCCUUAAGUGCUCUGGGUCACAAUACAGCCUUUCGGCUAACCAAUUUCUGAGGACCCAGAAACCACUGAAAAAAGAAUAUUUCCCCAAUUUUCAGAAGUUUUGAAUCACUUGUCCUGAGCAAGGAAGGGUUGUGCCAAGUUGUCAUGCCUGAGGGGAAGG
Long non-coding RNA from Perognathus longimembris pacificus (Pacific pocket mouse), 296 nucleotides. RefSeq lists it as uncharacterized. Lineage: Eukaryota; Metazoa; Chordata; Mammalia; Rodentia; Heteromyidae. The record is from RefSeq and is a predicted model, not a curated record. The transcript has 3 exons.